RNAcentral lists this unclassified non-coding RNA (852 nucleotides) under Hevea brasiliensis (rubber tree). Lineage: Eukaryota; Viridiplantae; Streptophyta; Magnoliopsida; Malpighiales; Euphorbiaceae. The record is from RNAcentral.
CCAGGCUGCAGAAAUUGAUGUGCCUUGUAGGAAUACUUUGUAAUCCCUGAAAUUUUUACAGCAAGCUUCCACUCAUUAUGAUCAAAAAGUUCUAAUACUACCUGCACCCCACAUUCUCUCCAGCCUCUAUCACCAUGCGUAAUUAAGACAUUUGCUUCACAGGACAACUCUUCUAAGUUUCUUUCAGAAACCCUAGAAACAUCAGCUGACCUCUUCUCAUUUGCUGUCCUAAUCCGUUUAUGUGGAAGCCCUUUCUGUGAAUGACCUUUAUUGUUUGAGCCAUAGUCAAAACCUCCAAAAGGCAUUGCAUAAGAGACCUGUGUACGUGGCUUCUUAGGUCCAUUACCAAAAUUAUUCUGGAGAAAGUCAGCCCUUCCAUCUGCCCAUCCAUGUGCAAGGUAUCCAAAAGAUGUAGAACUACUUCUAUUUCGGUGCCAGGUACUUCUGCGAGCAGUAGGGUUUGGACUGGGGAUAAUGCCACCAUUCAUAUUCCAAGACAAAUCAGUAGAUUGUUGAGCACGAUGUAAUUCCUUAUCAGCACGCUUAUCAAAUUGAUUGAAUGAUGGAAUUUCAACAGUAAUACCAUUCAUAAGAGAAUGAGAACCAGUACAAGACUUAUCAUGGUCAACUAGAGGCUUUGGUGAUUGGUGGCAUUGUUCUGACUCUGAAUGAUGGAAUGGCCACUUUUGCAGUGAGGCAACAGUAUCAGUUCCCAAUUUUCCAGUAUCCUUGGAGAUGGCAGAAUUUUCAACAUUUACACCACCAUUAUGGUGCUUUAGAGAGGGCUUCAUCCAAUCUCCAACACUGGUAACAGAAAUGUCAACUUCUUGUGGCACAGUUUUAGAACAAGAA